GCAGAUUGAGCCUUCUGUGUAAUUUUAAAAAUGCACAAAAGGUGCAUUUAUUGAGUAAACCUUCUAUUGAUUUAAAAAUUACAUCGAAGAUGUAAUUAGUCAACGCGCCUUCUUCUUAAAAUAUAGUUAACGAUCCAUCAGGUUUGGAGCAUUAAAAUUACAAGAAGAAGGCUCGCUUACCUUGCGCGCCUUCAUCAUUAAUGUUAAAAAAAAAAUGACAACCCUAUAUGUUGGAGUAGUGCUCCAUUCUCUGCCAUUUAAGUCAAGCCUUCCCUUAUCUCUGCUCUCACCUCUUGCAUUGUUUUGCAUAAUAGCUUUAUCCAUCUGUCAGAUAGCUUGUUUAGUUGAUUGUAGCAGAGAAAAUCCUGAAUGUGAAACAACAGAACUAGCCACCACUUCACAAAAUCUAUUCUCAUAUAAAAACAGGUAACUCCUUUACCAAUUUUAUUAGCAACAUUAUCAUCACUUUGAAGAGGACUUUUUUUUUAGUAAUUUGAUACUCACUUUGGAUGUCCCUACUCUGCAUGUUUAUAACACUAGAAUUGGUUAUGCUCACAUUUGCAUUACGCUCAUUUCGAUGGCUUCUACUAAACCUAUUUGUAUUUGUUUUCUCCAAAUUGCUUAAUACAAGCUCAUUCUCAAUUUUCAGCUUCUCAAGAAGGAUAAUUUACCUUAAAGAAACUUUUGUGCAAGCUGAAGCCACUCUGAAGAAAACCAUUGGAAGAUUAUAAAUUAUCGAACCUUGCAUUCCCAAAAGAAUGAGAGCCAAUCUUGAUUCUGUUCCAUGCUCCUAGUGACAUCAACUGGAUUUCUUUUCGAGCACAUGGAGCCGAUACAAUUUUAACUAUUUGGUAAUGGAGCUGAAAAUAAAUUACAAUUUGUCAAUCUGAUAAUUAUCUAAUUAUCAUAGUUCAAACAUGAAGAAGGAGUACACACUGUGUAUAUAUAAAAUGUGAAAAGCAGUAAAUUUUCUUCAUUUUUUUCAACAAAGCUGCACCUUAUUCAACUUCAGAACCAAGAGAGAUUCACUUAUAUCUAUUAAUAUAUCUU
RNAcentral lists this long non-coding RNA (1050 nucleotides) under Nicotiana tabacum (common tobacco). RNAcentral describes it as "long non-coding RNA (NTAB_LNC010557)". Lineage: Eukaryota; Viridiplantae; Streptophyta; Magnoliopsida; Solanales; Solanaceae. The record is from RNAcentral.